Molecule: RNA transcript, 1927 nt
Organism: Ochotona princeps (American pika)
Lineage: Eukaryota; Metazoa; Chordata; Mammalia; Lagomorpha; Ochotonidae
Gene: SUGCT
Gene name: succinyl-CoA:glutarate-CoA transferase
Exons: 18
Source: RefSeq, a predicted model, not a curated record
CCGAGAGGCCCCGCCCGGUGCCGCCCUGCCGGGGCGGGCACUGAGGCGUCCGCGGGCGCCCCCGCUGGCGGCCGAGGACAGCGCGCCGCCGGCUCUCCUCACACCGGACUGAGGAGAGGAGCGCGAUGCUGGCGAAGCUGGCCAGGCUUGUGGCUCUGCGGAGAACCCGCCUCCUCUCCGGCCAGGGCGGCGGGAAGGGACUGUGGACGGGCCGCCCGCAGACAGAUGCUGACAAUGUGAAACCAUUGGAAGGUGUAAAAAUUCUGGAUCUAACAAGAGUACUGGCGGGACCUUUUGCUACUAUGAAUUUGGGAGAUCUUGGAGCUGAAGUUAUAAAAAUAGAACGACCAGGAGCUGGUGAUGAUACACGAACUUGGGGGCCGCCUUUUGUGGGGACAGAAAGUACAUAUUUUCUGAGUGUUAACCGAAACAAAAAGAGUAUAGCUGUGAAUAUCAAGGACCCAAAAGGCGUGAAAAUCAUCAAAGAGCUUGCAGCUGUUUGUGAUGUCUUUGUUGAAAACUAUGUUCCUGGCAAACUGUCCGCAAUGGGCCUGGGCUAUGAAGCUAUAGACAGAAUUGCUCCUCACAUCAUCUAUUGCUCCAUCACAGGGUUUGGUCAGACAGGUCCGAUGUCUCAGCGAGCUGGUUAUGACGCUGUUGCCUCUGCUGUUUCUGGUCUAAUGCACAUCACAGGGCCAGAGGAUGGAGCUCCAGUUCGUCCAGGAGUAGCCAUGACUGAUCUUGCCACUGGCCUAUUUGCCUAUGGAGCCAUUAUGGCUGGUUUGAUACAAAGAUAUAAAACUGGAAAAGGCCUGUUCAUUGAUUGUAACCUACUAUCAUCUCAGGUGGCAUGUUUGACCCAGGUUGCUGCUAAUUACCUUAUUAGUCAAAUGGAAGCGAAACGUUGGGGCACAGCUCACGGCAGUAUUGUUCCUUACCAGGCUUUUAAAACCAAGGAUGGCUAUGUUGUAGUUGGAGCAGGAAAUAACCAACAGUUCGCCACCGUGUGUAAGAUAAUGAGUUUACCUGAGUUGAUUGAUGAUUCCAAGUAUAAAACUAACCAUCUUCGGGUACAGAACAGAGAUGCGCUUAUUAAAAUACUAUCAUCACGGUUUGAAGAAAAAACGACCAACAAGUGGUUACAUCUCUUUGAAGGUAGUGGCAUCCCAUAUGGUCCAAUCAACAACAUGAAGAACGUAUUUGCAGAACCUCAGGUGCUGCACAAUGGCCUCAUCAUGGAGAUGAAACAUCCAACAGCAGGGACGAUUUCAGUUCCAGGUUGAAUGGGCCAACAUUUAGGAAAGGAAGAACGGAAAGACAAACCCAUGAUGUACAUAGAAAGAUGCCUGUUUGUUCUUCUGUUCUCUUCCUUGGGUGGAGGCAGCGCAAGGACUCACCAGCAGGUGCCCAGAGGCAGUGCCAUGCUCUUGAACUUUCCAGGCCUCAGAACUGGUUGUGCAAAUCUGUUCUUCAAACAUCACCUGCCUUCACGUAUUCUGUUACAAACAUAGAAAAAAGACAAGGAUUUCUUUCAAAAAGCCCAAUGUAGGCUUCAAGAUAAUGACUUAUCAUGUAGAUGCCAAGCAAUGCUGAAAAGGAGAUACACACUGGCCACUAUCUAAUGGCAAUGCAGAAAAAAGCUUUCAAGAGGAUCCAUGUGUCUCAACCUAAGAAUUUCUGCGCCAAGGCUCUGAGGAAGUUCUCUUGACCACCCACAAGAGCAGUGCACUGUAAAUGCACCAAAGGAGAUGGCUCUGGAUGAGGCACAAGUUUCCUUCGUUUCACAGAGUAAAGAAACCAAUUUUAUGAAUAAUUCCCAGCAAUGCCCGAGUUAAAAUCUUCUGGUGUUUUGGAAACUAAACCACUGAUGAAUCAUCAUAUUGAUGAAUGACCACACAAACUCAGACCACACAGGACUUUAAACUGG